RNAcentral lists this ribosomal RNA (431 nucleotides) under uncultured bacterium. Its description in RNAcentral is "partial 16S ribosomal RNA". It matches the Rfam family "Bacterial small subunit ribosomal RNA", at positions 29 to 505 of the family's 1533-position model. The record is from RNAcentral.
AGCGAACGCUGGCGGCAGGCUUAACACAUGCAAGUCGAGCGGGCACUUCGGUGUCAGCGGCAGACGGGUGAGUAACACGUGGGAACGUACCCUUUGGUUCGGAAUAACGCUGGGAAACUAGCGCUAAUACCGGAUACGCCCUUUUGGGGAAAGGCUUGCUGCCGAAGGAUCGGCCCGCGUCUGAUUAGCUAGUUGGUGGGGUAAUGGCCUACCAAGGCGACGAUCAGUAGCUGGUCUGAGAGGAUGAUCAGCCACACUGGGACUGAGACACGGCCCAGACUCCUACGGGGGGCAGAAGGGGGGAAUUUUGGACAAGGGGCGCAAGCCUGACCCGGCCAUGCCGGGGGAGGGAGGAAGGCCUUGGGGUUGAAAAGCUCUUUUUUCCGGGACGAUAAUGACGGUACCGGAAGAAGAACCCCCGGCGAACUUCG